Long non-coding RNA from Sinocyclocheilus grahami, 1581 nucleotides. The record is from Ensembl. NCBI's taxonomy places the organism in Eukaryota, Metazoa, Chordata, Actinopteri, Cypriniformes, Cyprinidae.
UAUCUCGACUUAAAGGAGACGCAACAAAGAGCGACAGCAGUGGGCCCUGCUAACAGCGUGGCUUACUAUAGCUUUAAGAACUUAAAAUAGGGUCUGGGUCUUUAAAAUUAAUUUUGCAGUUAUUAUAGAGAUUAUAGACUAAGUUUUCUAUUUAUACAACUUACAUUUGUGUACAAGGUUUGCAAAGAGAAGUAAGAGCGUCCAUUGAAAUAUGUUUGACAAUUGGAUCAGUGCCUUUAGCAACCCAACAUUUUUCACAUUUUAUGCCUCCUGUUUAUUUGAAGCCGUUGCAUUUUGUUGAGCAUUUUUGAGGCGUCCUGGAGUACGAGAAAACAAGUUUAGCGGUGAUGGAGCCGCAGCUCUCGAACAACAAAGAGGAGGUGGAGAAUGAGGCGGCCCUGGAGAAAUCCGCGGGGCAGAGUACCUCAUCCACCCCGUGCAGGGCAUUCAGAGGACGGGGCGACGGGUGUCUGACGACCGAAGGGACUUGCCCACCCGAGACAAACGGAGCUGCGCCGAGCGUGGCGGGAUCCGGGCGGGUUUUACGGGACAGGUCAACGCGAGCUAUUCCCGUGUGGAGGCAGAGCGAUAUCGGGGAGGACCGAGGUGAAGUGACACGCGACGCUGCGGCGAAUCGCCGGAGGAAAGCGAAGUGCCCGCGGCGCAGGAAGAGCGCAGCAGCCGCUCAGGGUUCAUCUUAUGCGGCCAGAGACUUCAGCGGCGAGUGUGACCUUCCGGAUGAGUUUGAAGAAAACAAGGAUGCGCUGGUUAAUCGAGCGGCCCGCGGCAGACAGGUGCGCUCAGGGGCCCGCACCUGCCGGGGCUCGCCUAGGACUGUGUUUAAAAUUGAACCAGAAAUGGACAUUGACUAUGGUACGCUGCUGAGCUUUUAAUGUAGUAGACUGAACAGGUCCACUACAAAUGCUUGAUCAAAUACACACCACAAAAAUAUAUAAAUAACUAUAAUGGUUGCAAAUUUUGCUUGCAGUGGAGGCCAAUAAAGCGGUCGAAAAGACAGGAACAAGGUGAUUGCACAUUUAUCAUGAGAACACAUGGACACUUUCUCAUGAAAGACCCCAUGAAAUCAAAGUUGGAGUUUUGUGUUUUAUAUGCAUUUAAUAUGCAUAGCAUUUCUAUUCCAUGAAAAAAUGGGCCAAAACUAUCUUGCAUUACCUAAUGUGUUCAAAUUUCUGUCCUCCAUUUAGCAAAAGCCGGUAGUGCAUCUUCAUUUACGCUGUGACGUCAACUUAAGGCUAUUGGCUGUUUGUUAAAAAAAAAAAGACAAGACCAGUUUCAAUACUGGAAAAAAAACAGUGCUCGUCAAGCCAUUUUGUGGGGUCUUUGAAGACACUGAUGGCUGCUAGUGUUUUGGAGUUGGUCUAACAAGCCCUAUGUUUGUUAACUGCCAUAUUUUAGUGUGGAGAAAAAGGAAGAGGAGAGCAUGGAUGAUGAUGUUAUAGAAGAGGAAGAGUGUCCAUUUGUGGAUGAUCCAAAUGAUGAAACCUACCGACCCCAUUCACACAGGUAAUGUUGUACCUUGUGUACAUAUACUGAUUGUAGUCAUUUGGAAUUGACAUUAAU